This is an unclassified non-coding RNA of Gambusia affinis (western mosquitofish), 83 nucleotides long. NCBI's taxonomy places the organism in Eukaryota, Metazoa, Chordata, Actinopteri, Cyprinodontiformes, Poeciliidae. The record is from Ensembl.
UGUUUUACAUAGGGAGGUGAGACGCGGUUGGAGGCCAAGGUCAAGUUGAAAGUUGUUGUUGUCUGGCAGUCCAGCCCGUCGCG